This 22-nucleotide unclassified non-coding RNA is filed under the name Mus musculus (house mouse). RNAcentral's name for it is "oocyte_clustered_small_RNA2382". Lineage: Eukaryota; Metazoa; Chordata; Mammalia; Rodentia; Muridae. The record is from RNAcentral.
CUAGCAGCAGCCGGUGAUUCCA